Molecule: non-coding RNA, 73 nt
Organism: Stegodyphus mimosarum
Lineage: Eukaryota; Metazoa; Arthropoda; Arachnida; Araneae; Eresidae
Source: Rfam
GCCAUCGUAGUAUAGCGGUCAGCACGCUCGACGAGUAAUCGAGAAGUCCGUGGUUCGAUUCCCGGCAAAGGCG